UACUAAACUCAUCAUAUAAUAUCACAUUAAACAAAACACUCAAAUACCUACCCUACUAACACCCAAACUAAAGUACUAAAAAGGAAAUACCCAAUAAAAUAAAGUAGUGAUAUUUCACGUACCUUGUGCAUUAUGGUUUUACAAGCUAAAAAUUUAAAAUACUUUCCCGAAUUCUACACGAGCUGCCCCCAUAUAGCUAUGAGCCCACUACUAGUUGUAGCAACAACUUUAGAAAAUAUGCUGGCAGAGGCUACAUACCACACGCGUUAGAAAAUUGCUGGUUCUCAGUAAAAUUUAUUAAUUAAAACAUGGAGCUAUAGCUUCAGUGUAAGACCACAGAGGACAAGCCCUGUGACCUAAAGCCAUAAACAACAAUCAAAAAUAAGUAGGCCUAAAAACAGCCACCUGCAAUACUUUACCGUAACACCCAUAUAAUUCAUACAUUUAUUCUGCACUUAAAAGCUGGGAUUUAAAAUAAACACUCAAUUAUUAAAUAUUAUGUAAAAAUAAGUAUUAUAGAUAAAUAAACAUCAACAUAAAAUAUAUCCACAAACAAAAAAUAAACACUUAUGAAGAACUCGUUCCCGCCUCAACAUGGGAAGUAAUUCCUGCCCAGUGACUAAGUUCAACGGCCGCGGUAUCCUAACCGUGCAAAGGUAGCAUAAUCACUUGCCCAUUAAUUGUGGGCUAGAAUGAAAGGACCAACGAAAUAAAGACUGUCUCCAUAAGCCAUCUAAAAAUUAAUCUCUAACUGAAGACUGUUAGAUUCCGUCGAAGGACAAGAAGACCCUAUAGAGCUUUAUUUUAAUAAAAAAUAUAAAUUUUUAAUAAAUUCGGUUGGGGCGACCAGGGAAGUUACUAAUCAUCCCUAAAUAAAAGAUUAAUUAAUCUAAAUUCUGACCCUUAUUCAAGAUCAAUAGAUCAAGCUACCUUAGGGAUAACAGGCUAAUCUCACUAAAGAGUCCUUAUCAAUAGUGGGGGUUGGCACCUCGAUGUUGGCUUAGGGAAUCUAUGUGGCGCAAAAGUCACAUAAAGAUGGUUUGUUCAACCAAUAACACCCUACAUGAGCUGAGUUCAGACCGGCGUAAGCCAGGUUAGUUUCUAUCCUCGAUAAAAUAAUCUAUUUAUAGUACGAAAGGACCUAAAUAAGAAUAAUAAUUAUAGUUAAAGAAUAAAUAUAAGGCAUAUUUAAACUAAAUACACAUAAACUA
This 1211-nucleotide ribosomal RNA is filed under the name Aporrectodea caliginosa. RNAcentral describes it as "partial 16S ribosomal RNA". The stretch from base 748 to 1115 matches the Rfam family "Bacterial large subunit ribosomal RNA", at positions 2049 to 2651 of the family's 2925-position model. Lineage: Eukaryota; Metazoa; Annelida; Clitellata; Crassiclitellata; Lumbricidae. The record is from RNAcentral.